Long non-coding RNA from Coffea eugenioides, 914 nucleotides. RefSeq lists it as uncharacterized. NCBI's taxonomy places the organism in Eukaryota, Viridiplantae, Streptophyta, Magnoliopsida, Gentianales, Rubiaceae. The record is from RefSeq and is a predicted model, not a curated record. The transcript has 2 exons.
UGUACAAGGAUAAAAGUAUCAAAGUGCAAACGGCAGUAUGCACAAAUUAACCAGCAUAAGUUGAAUGCUUUCCGCAUACAUCAUUAAGAAUCAGAGAUGAAUCUGUUUCCGGCACAAUUUAGAGAAACAUAUUGCUUAAAUAGGAUAAAUCCACUUCAGAGAACCACAAGGUUGCUGUAAACUUUAAUUUUUUUGACCUCUUGUUUUCAUGACAAAAGUAAGCUGAUACCAAGAUGAACUUCAAAGUCUCCAAUUCAAGAAGUGGUUACUACUGUUCCAUCAAUAUUCAUCUUAAUCAAGCUUUCAUAAUAACAAACCAGUUCUAUGUUAAGCUCCAACUUUCUUGUAUACGGACUAUUAUGCGAGCUCCAUCAAUUCAUGCAGCCUCAUCUAACACGUACUUCUAUUCUGCAGACAGUAACUUGCUGACAUGAUGCAAUGUCCUUCCCCUACACACCUCUACUCAAAGCCACAGAUUGAAGCAAAUAUAAGGAAGGAAAGACACAUACACGUAUUGAAGCAAAUGUUAUCUUAGGACGGGUGCACAGGAACUUAAGAUUUAAUUUGCCCUUUUUUUCCCCUCUUGCAGAGUCACAUGACUGAUAUGUUAGACAAGGACUAGCCAUAGGUGAAGAAUGAUAGACCCUUCAAAUGCCAGGGUUGACUCAAGCUUUCAGAAAACUCAAUCUGUCACAAAACGUCAAAGAGCAUCUCCUCUAUGAUGACUAAACAAUAAGGUUUAGGAGUAGCUGGACAAGAAAAACCUUGUCAGAACUAUCCAGUUUAAAUUUACAUAUUUAGCCUAUCAAUGCAGCAACCAGAGAAAGGAGAGGAAACAAGUCAUUCACAUCCAAUAUGCUGAAAUGGCAACAUCUUGUUGAAGGGCAUAUCCCGCACCAAAGUUUGAGAAUAUU